Molecule: ribosomal RNA, 500 nt
Filed under: uncultured bacterium
Lineage: Bacteria
Description: partial 16S ribosomal RNA
Rfam family: Bacterial small subunit ribosomal RNA
Source: RNAcentral
AUUGAACGCUGGCGGCAUGCCUUACACAUGCAAGUCGAACGGCAGCGGGGACUUCGGUCCGCCGGCGAGUGGCGAACGGGUGAGUAAAGUAUCGGAACGUACCUUUCAGUGGGGGAUAACGUAGCGAAAGUUACGCUAAUACCGCAUAUUCUGUGAGCAGGAAAGCAGGGGAUCGCAAGACCUUGCGCUGAUUGAGCGGCCGAUAUCAGAUUAGCUAGUUGGUGAGGUAAAGGCUCACCAAGGCGACGAUCUGUAGCGGGUCUGAGAGGAUGAGCCGCCUCACGGGAAGUGAGACACGGUCUAGACUCCUACGGGAGGCAGCAGUGGGGAAUUGUGGACAAUGGGGGCAACCCUGAUCCAGCCAUGCCGCGUGAGUGAAGAAGGCCUUCGGGUUGUAAAGCUCUUUCGGCCGGGAGGAAAUCGCACAGGCUAAUACCCUGUGUGGAUGACAGUACCGGAAUAAGAAGCACCGGCUAACUACGUGCCAGCCGCCGCCGUAA